RNAcentral lists this ribosomal RNA (577 nucleotides) under uncultured bacterium. RNAcentral describes it as "partial 16S ribosomal RNA". It matches the Rfam family "Bacterial small subunit ribosomal RNA", at positions 355 to 928 of the family's 1533-position model. The record is from RNAcentral.
CUAAGAAUAUUCCGCAAUGGACGGAAGUCUGACGGAGCGACACCGCGUGGAUGACGAAGGCCGAAAGGUUGUAAAGUUCUUUUGCUGGGGAAGAAUAACCGCAGGAGGGAAUGCCUGUGGGAUGACAAGAACCGGCGAAUAAGCCCCGGCCAACUACGUGCCAGCAGCCGCGGUAACACGUAGGGGGCGAGCGUUGUUCGGAAUUACUGGGCGUAAAGGGCAUGUAGGCGGCUUGGAAAGCCUGGCGUGAAAGUCUGCAGCUUAACUGCAGGGGUGCGCUGGGAACUGCUGAGCUUGAGUGACGGAGAGGGAGCUGGAAUUCCUGGUGUAGGGGUGAAAUCUGUAGAUAUCAGGAAGAACACCGAUGGCGAAGGCAAGCUCCUGGCCGAUGACUGACGCUGAGGUGCGAAAGUGUGGGGAUCAAACAGGAUUAGAUACCCAGGUAGUCCACACAGUCAACGAUGUGCACUAGGUGCUGGGGCGGUAGCUUCGGUGCCGGAGCGAACGUGGUAAGUGCACCGCCUGGGGAGUAUGCUCGCAAGGGUGAAACUCAAUGAAUUGACGGGGGUCAUAGCUG